RNAcentral lists this ribosomal RNA (552 nucleotides) under uncultured bacterium. RNAcentral's name for it is "partial 16S ribosomal RNA". It matches the Rfam family "Bacterial small subunit ribosomal RNA", at positions 355 to 898 of the family's 1533-position model. The record is from RNAcentral.
UAGGGAAUCUUCCACAAUGGACGCAAGUCUGAUGGAGCAACGCCGCGUGAGUGAAGAAGGUUUUCGGACCGUAAAGCUCUGUUGUUGGUGAAGAAGGAUAGAGGUAGUAACUGGCCUUUAUUUGACGGUAAUCAACCAGAAAGUCACGGCUAACUACGUGCCAGCAGCCGCGGUAAUACGUAGGUGGCAAGCGUUGUCCGGAUUUAUUGGGCGUAAAGCGAGCGCAGGCGGAAGAAUAAGUCUGAUGUGAAAGCCCUCGGCUUAACCGAGGAAUUGCAUCGGAAACUGUUUUCUUGAGUGCAGAAGAGGAGAGUAGAACUCCAUGUGUAGCGGUGGAAUGCGUAGAUAUAUGGAAGAAUACCAGUGGCGAAGGCGGCUCUCUGGUCUGCAACUGACGCUGAGGCUCGAAAGCAUGGGUAGCGAACAGGAUUAGAUACCCUGGUAAUCCAUGCCGUAAACGAUGAGUGCUAAGUGUUGGGAGGCUUCCGCCUCUCAGUGCUGCAGCUAACGCAUUAAGCACUCCGCCUGGGGGAGUACGACCGCAAGGUUGAA